AAAAGCACUGCUAGGGGAGAUACCAUGAUCACGAAGGUGGUUUUCCCAGGGUGAGGCUCAUCCAUUGCACUGCGGGUGUGCUGACCCCUGCGAUUUCCCCAAAUGCGGGAAACUCGACUGCAUAAUUUGUGGUGCUCACAAUGCAUAUACUUUGUUC
This 157-nucleotide small nuclear RNA is filed under the name Chelydra serpentina (North American snapping turtle). RNAcentral describes it as "U1 spliceosomal RNA (ENSCSRG00000010294.1)". It matches the Rfam family "U1 spliceosomal RNA". From Rfam's summary of the family: U1 is a small nuclear RNA (snRNA) component of the spliceosome (involved in pre-mRNA splicing). The record is from Rfam by way of RNAcentral. Lineage: Eukaryota; Metazoa; Chordata; Testudines; Chelydridae.